ACCAUGCAAGUCGAGCGGUAGAGAGAAGCUUGCUUCUCUUGAGAGCGGCGGACGGGUGAGUAAUGCCUAGGAAUCUGCCUGGUAGUGGGGGAUAACGUUCGGAAACGGACGCUAAUACCGCAUACGUCCUACGGGAGAAAGCAGGGGACCUUCGGGCCUUGCGCUAUCAGAUGAGCCUAGGUCGGAUUAGCUAGUUGGUGGGGUAAUGGCUCACCAAGGCGACGAUCCGUAACUGGUCUGAGAGGAUGAUCAGUCACACUGGAACUGAGACACGGUCCAGACUCCUACGGGAGGCAGCAGUGGGGAAUAUUGGACAAUGGGCGAAAGCCUGAUCCAGCCAUGCCGCGUGUGUGAAGAAGGUCUUCGGAUUGUAAAGCACUUUAAGUUGGGAGGAAGGGUUGUAGAUUAAUACUCUGCAAUUUUGACGUUACCGACAGAAUAAGCACCGGCUAACUCUGUGCCAGCAGCCGCGGUAAUACAGAGGGUGCAAGCGUUAAUCGGAAUUACUGGGCGUAAAGCGCGCGUAGGUGGUUUGUUAAGUUGGAUGUGAAAUCCCCGGGCUCAACCUGGGAACUGCAUUCAAAACUGACUGACUAGAGUAUGGUAGAGGGUGGUGGAAUUUCCUGUGUAGCGGUGAAAUGCGUAGAUAUAGGAAGGAACACCAGUGGCGAAGGCGACCACCUGGACUAAUACUGACACUGAGG
Molecule: ribosomal RNA, 704 nt
Filed under: Pseudomonas sp. Y4_288_2
Lineage: Bacteria; Pseudomonadati; Pseudomonadota; Gammaproteobacteria; Pseudomonadales; Pseudomonadaceae
Description: bacterial SSU rRNA
Rfam family: Bacterial small subunit ribosomal RNA
Source: RNAcentral